Molecule: long non-coding RNA, 403 nt
Filed under: Populus trichocarpa (black cottonwood)
Lineage: Eukaryota; Viridiplantae; Streptophyta; Magnoliopsida; Malpighiales; Salicaceae
Description: long non-coding RNA (PTRI_LNC003624)
Source: RNAcentral
UCUGCUCUCCUCUCCACUACCACACCUCUUUCUCCCCCUCCUUCAAAGUACUUACUUGAUCGAUCAAAACUCGCUUUCUUUUGUUAAUUUCUUCUCGGAUUUCAACCAACGAUUUCGUUUUGGUUGUUUUUUUGAGGCUCGGUGUUGAUGGAGAGAAGAAAUCUGCGAAAGAGCAGUAGUGAAGAGGAGAGCUUGAGCUUGAGCUUGAGCUUUUUCAAGUGGUUCCAGCGCGGCUUCAAGCAAGCAAAAGCCACUUUAUGAAGACGAACGGAUUGAUGAUGAAGCCGGCCGGCUCGUGAUGAUCAGGAGGAGAUGAAGAGGAUCAGGUCUGGCUUUGGCUCGCCUUACAUGAGCGGCCGAGCCGCAGCAACAUGGAGGCUGCUGUCAAGUGGUUGUUUCUCCG